GAUGAACGCUGGCGGCGUGCCUAAUACAUGCAAGUCGAGCGAACGGACGAGAAGCUUGCUUUUCUGAUGUUAGCGGCGGACGGGUGAGUAACACGUGGAUAACCUACCUAUAAGACUGGGAUAACUUCGGGAAACCGGAGCUAAUACCGGAUAAUAUUUUGAACCGCAUGGUUCAAAAGUGAAAGACGGUCUUGCUGUCACUUAUAGAUGGAUCCGCGCUGCAUUAGCUAGUUGGUAAGGUAACGGCUCACCAAGGCAACGAUGCAUAGCCGACCUGAGAGGGUGAUCGGCCACACUGGAACUGAGACACGGUCCAGACUCCUACGGGAGGCAGCAGUAGGGAAUCUUCCGCAAUGGGCGGAAGCCUGACGGAGCAACGCCGCGUGAGUGAUGAAGGUCUUCGGAUCGUAAAACUCUGUUAUUAGGGAAGAACAUAUGUGUAAGUAACUGUGCACAUCUUGACGGUACCUAAUCAGAAAGCCACGGCUAACUACGUG
Molecule: ribosomal RNA, 497 nt
Filed under: uncultured bacterium
Lineage: Bacteria
Description: partial 16S ribosomal RNA
Rfam family: Bacterial small subunit ribosomal RNA
Source: RNAcentral